AUGGCCGAAUAGGAACAGCUCCGGUCUACAGCUCCCAGCAUGAGCGACGCAGAAGACGGGUGAUUUCUGCAUUUCCAUCUGAGGUAGCGGGUUCAUCUCACUAGGGAGUGCCAGACAGUGGGCGCAGGUCAGUGGGAUACUCAAACUUGAAACCAACCUACCUUAUCGUGAGGAAGCCCGGUUCAAAUGGAGAGGCCAAUGUAGGUGUACAACAGACAGUCCCCCCUGAAAGGCCCAGCUUGCACACAACAUCACUGCCAGACGAAUGAGAAGGGCCUUAUGAUGAUUCCAGCAUCAAACAUUUGACUUGGCCAGCUUUUGCUGAACUGCAUGUUAAAUGGGCUCUUGCUAUAUUUGGCCUGACUGGUCUUGAACUCCUGGACUCAAGUGAUGCUCCUGCCUCGACCUUCCAAAGUGCUGGGACUACAAGCAUAAGCCACUGUGCCUAGCUACUUGCUGUGUUUUAAAGGUAUGGAGUACUGGGACUGUAAUUACUUUCAUGGAUUUUGAGGUUUUCUUUAGAAAGCAUCAUGUCUUUAUAUUAUUUCUGACUCUUUUGAAUACUAAAGGAAAAAUGACAAAAAUGAUUUUAUUUGUAAUUAAUUUUUAUUUUUUAUAUUAACACGUAUAUAUUUUAAAUGCAAACUUUUGUUUAAAAGCUUAUAACAGAGGAUUAUUUCGGUUCUCCAUUCCCCUCUUUCACACAAGGAAAUUGGAUUCUGCUUUUCAGUCCACUGCUUUCAACCCUUUUAAAAAAUUGUUCAAAAGAGUGGCUGGCUUUUACUUUUCUAUUUAUUUAUAAUUUCAAUGUUCCUAUAGUCAGUCAUUAAUAUUAUUUUGAUAUUAUCUAUUGAUUCUUUGUUAUUAUUACAGUUGUAUAGUCCCACAUAUUAUUUUCGAGAACCCCUAGAUUUAUUUCUAUUCAUUUAAUCUCACUUUUUGUCAAGCCAUCUUUUAAGAGUUUUUCAAGAAGGGUACUAGGGAAUAAAUUUUUGAUAAUUCAUUUUUCUGAAAUUAGCUUUAUUUCUUUCUUUUCCUAGGUUUAAGGUUUCUGUAGUUUUAAGGUUUUAAGAUUAAAAUAAUUUCACCUCAGACUUAUGAAGGCAGUGCUCCAGUCAAACCUGAUUCCCAUACUGCAGUUUCAGAGUGAGAGAGAAGG
This is a long non-coding RNA of Pan troglodytes (chimpanzee), 1159 nucleotides long. RefSeq lists it as uncharacterized. The transcript is spliced from 3 exons. The record is from RefSeq and is a predicted model, not a curated record. Lineage: Eukaryota; Metazoa; Chordata; Mammalia; Primates; Hominidae.